GAAAAUAUGCAGCUUAACUGUAAACAGUGCCCGUUGAUACUGUAGAGCUAGGAUUAGGGUUGCUGUGGGGCGGAAUGUGUGGUGUAGCGGUGAAAUGCUUAGAGAUCACACAGAAUAUCGAUUGCGAAGGCAGCGCACAAAGCCUAAAUUGACGCUGAGGCACGAAAGUGUGGGGAUCGAACAGGAUUAGAUACCCUGGUAGUCCACACUGUAAACGAUGAUAACUCGCUGUCGGCGAUAUACAGUCGGUGGCCAAGCGAAAGCGAUAAGUUAUCCACCUGGGGAGUACGACCGCAAGGUUGAAACUCAAAGGAAUUGACGGGGGCCCGCACAAGCGGAGGAACAUGUGGUUUAAUUCGAUGAUACGCGAGGAACCUUACCCGGGCUCGAGCGGUGCAUGAAUGUCAGAGAGAUUUGACAGUCCUUCGGGACAUGUAUCGAGGUGCUGCAUGGUUGUCGUCAGCUCGUGCCGUGAGGUGUCGGCUUAAGUGCCAUAACGAGCGCAACCCUUGUUGACAGUUACCAUCAGGUAAAGCUGGGGACUCUGUCGAGACUGCCACCGUAAGGUGUGAGGAAGGGGGGGAUGACGUCAAAUCAGCACGGCCCUUAUGUCCGGGGCGACACACGUGUUACAACGGGAGGUACAGAGGGCAGCUAUCCAGUGAUGGAGUGCAAAUCUCAAAAACCUUUCUCAGUUCGGAUUGGAGUCUGCAACUCGACUCCAUGAAGUUGGAUUCGCUAGUAAUCGCGCAUCAGCCAUGGCGCGGUGAAUACGUUCCCGGGCCUUGUACACACCGCCCGUCAAGCCAUGGAAGCUUGGGGUGCUUGAAGUUCGUGACCGCAAGGAGCGACCUAG
This 856-nucleotide ribosomal RNA is filed under the name uncultured bacterium. RNAcentral describes it as "bacterial SSU rRNA". It matches the Rfam family "Bacterial small subunit ribosomal RNA", at positions 596 to 1460 of the family's 1533-position model. The record is from RNAcentral.